UUGUGUUUUGGAUAGCUCCUUCAGUACACA
Molecule: non-coding RNA, 30 nt
Filed under: Homo sapiens (human)
Lineage: Eukaryota; Metazoa; Chordata; Mammalia; Primates; Hominidae
Source: RNAcentral